UCUCAGAUGACCUGAAAUAUGCACCAUGUUUGCCCAAUUCAAAGUUACACACAGUGUGAAUCACACUAGCUAGAAACAGAUUAUUGCAGAUAAUGUUGACUUUGAAUAAAGGCUAAGUUAUCUGUUAGCGUCUCUCUUUCUCUAUCCGUGUAAUAUAAAUAUGCGAUGUUAACCCCUCAAAACUCUUAGGGAAAACAUGGGAGGACAAAAAAUUGGAAUUAUGGUUAUUCUUCUAUGCGGUGCAAUUCUUUUGGGAUCAGUUAAUCCAACAAAUGCAUGCCCACAAUAUUGCUUGGACUACGCGUAUAUGACUUGCCCAUCAUCAGGUAGCCAGAAGCUUGAUCCGGCCUGCAACUGCUGUUUAGCUCAAGGCUGCACCCUCUACCUCGCUGAUGGAACUUCAACUUAUUGCGAUUGAUGGAGCUUACAAUUAAUUUGCAUGCUCUUUACAAUCUUAAAUAUGUAUGUUUGCAAAUAAUGAGAUUGGAUUUGCAACAAUAAUAAAUUAUAAUAAUAAAACAAUAGAGACUUAUUGUCUCUAUAUUCUCUUA
Quercus robur (English oak) is the source of this 551-nucleotide long non-coding RNA. RefSeq lists it as uncharacterized. The transcript is spliced from 2 exons. NCBI's taxonomy places the organism in Eukaryota, Viridiplantae, Streptophyta, Magnoliopsida, Fagales, Fagaceae. The record is from RefSeq and is a predicted model, not a curated record.